AUGGGAAAAGGUUUCUACAUCAGCAAGCACCUGGCCAUAGCAGCUGUACUGCUGGCUGCAGCAGCUUUAGCCACCAUCGUAGCGUUAUCUAUAGUUUACUCUAAAGAAAAGGCCAAAAAGUCACAUCAGGUCAGCGAUGGACCAACAUCACGCAUGCCUCCCACUACACCACUAUCUAAUGAGCCCUGGGACAAAUACAGACUCCCCAACACCCUGAAGCCUCAGUUUUACAAUAUAAGUCUGUGGCCGAGGCUCAGCAUAGACGCUAAGGGUAUGUACGUUUUCACCGGCAGUUCUGGAGUAGCUUUCACAUGUGAGAAAGAGACGGAUCUGAUCAUCAUUCACUGCCACAAGCUCAACCUGACUCUUUUUGAUGGACGCCACGCAAAGCUAACAGGCAUGCAGGGAGCAACGGCUCCAGCCAUCAAGAAAACUUGGUUCCAGUUGGAAACGCAAUACUUGGUGGUUCAGCUGAAGGGGAGGCUAAAGCCAGGAAAAGCCUACUGGCUUUAUACCGAGUUCAGAGGAGAGCUGACGGAUGACCUGCAGGGAUUCUACAGGAGCGAGUAUGAAGAGGACGGGGUAAAAAAGUACGGCGUUUUUGAUGACAUUAGCAAAAGUGAAAUUUCAUCUCACAAAAACCUUCAAAUGGAUGGAAUUGAUGUUAUUAAAACUGUAUUUGAGCCCACAAAGACGAUGUCUACAUAUCUGGUCGCGUUUGUUGUCAGUGACUUUACUUACACCAGCAAACAAACAGACAGCAAGGAUGUUCGUAUUUGGGCAAGACAAAAGGCUAUUGGAGAAGGUCAAGGUGACUAUGCCCUGAGCAUCACCCAGCCAAUACUGAAGUUCUUUGAGAAGUAUUACAGCACCAACUAUCCACUCUCUAAAUCAGACCAGAUUGCACUGCCUGACUUUAAUGCUGGAGCCAUGGAAAACUGGGGUCUCGUCACCUACAGGGAAACGUCUCUGCUCUAUGAUCCCAAAACCUCGGCCAACGGCAACAAGCAGAGAAUUGUGAUUGUGGUUUCUCAUGAGCUCGCUCAUAUGUGGUUUGGAAACCUGGUGACUCUGAAGUGGUGGAACGACUUGUGGCUAAACGAGGGAUUUGCUUCAUAUGUGGAGUACCUUGGUGCAGACUAUGCAGAGCCAACCUGGAACAUUAAAGAUCAGAUCAUACUGUAUGAUAUUUACCGCGCGUUUGCUGUGGAUAGCCUGGUCUCCUCUCACCCGCUGUCCUGCAAAGAGGAGGAGGUCAACAAGCCAGCGGAGAUCAGCCAAAUGUUCAACACCAUAUCUUACAGCAAGGGGGCUGCGGUGCUCAGGAUGCUCUCUGAAUUCCUGACUGAGCCGAUCUUCGCUAAGGGGCUCAGUACGUACCUGAACCAGUUUGCUUAUGGGAACUCUGUGUAUUCAGAUCUGUGGGAUCAUCUUCAGAAGGCCGUAGAGAAAACCCCACAUCUGAAGCUGCCGCACAGAGUGCAUGACAUCAUGAAUCGCUGGAUUCUGCAGAUGGGUUUCCCAGUGGUCACCAUUGACACCCAAACAGGAAAUGUGAGCCAGAAGCACUUCCUGUUGGAGCCAAACUCUGUGGUGGAAAGACCGUCUGAGUUCAAUUAUGAGUGGUUUAUACCAAUCAAGUGGAUGAAGAAAGGGGUAGAACAAGAUCAGCUGUGGCUUCUUCAGAAAUCAGGUGAUUGGGUUUUGGCCAACACUAAUGUUUCUGGAUACUACAGAGUCAACUACGACCCUGAGAACUGGGAGCGCCUCCUGAAACAACUGAGCUCCAACCAUCAGGUAAUACCACUGAUAAACAGAGCCCAGAUACUGGAUGAUGCCUUUAACCUGGCUAGGGCAUCCAUCAUUAACAUAACUCUCGCUCUGAGAACCACCAAAUAUCUCUCGCUGGAGAGAGAGUAUAUUCCAUGGGAGGCGGCUCUGAGAAGUCUCAACUCAUUAUUCCUCCUGUUUGAUCGCAGUGAAGUUUAUGGGCCCAUGCAGGCCUACCUCAGAAAACAGGUCAAGCCUCUGUUUGAUUAUUUUGCCAGUGUUACUGAAAACUGGGCGACUGUGCCUCCAGGCCACAACGAUCAGUUCUCACAGAUCAUCGCACUGUCACUGGCGUGUAAAACCGGGGUGCAGGGCUGCCGUGAACUCACCAAAACCUGGUUCAGACAAUGGAUGCAGGAUCCUAAUAAUAAUGAGAUUCACCCCAACCUGAGGUCCACAGUGUACUGCUAUGCUAUAGCUACUGGAGGAGUAGAGGAGUGGGACUUCACCUGGAAGAUGUUCAAGAAAGCGACAGUAGCAGCCGAAGCGGUUAAACUGCGCGCAGCUUUGUCCUGCACCAGAGAGCCCUGGUUACUCAACAGAUUCCUUGAAUACACUUUGGAUCCUAAUAAGAUCCGGAAGCAGGAUGCCACUUCCACAAUCGGAGCCAUCGCUAGUAACGUUGUUGGUCAGCCUCUGGCCUGGAACUUCGUCCGGAUAUUUUUCUUUUCCUAUACCAAUUUGUAG
This 2517-nucleotide long non-coding RNA is filed under the name Astyanax mexicanus (Mexican tetra). Its description in RNAcentral is "lncRNA (ENSAMXG00005003188.1)". The record is from RNAcentral. Lineage: Eukaryota; Metazoa; Chordata; Actinopteri; Characiformes; Acestrorhamphidae.